GGAUGAACGCUGGCGGCGUGCUUAACACAUGCAAGUCGAACGGGGUUUAGGGAGAGCUUGCUUUUGGUAAACCUAGUGGCGGACGGGUGAGUAACGCGUGAGUAACCUGCCUUAGACUGGGGGAUAACACUUAGAAAUAGGUGCUAAUACCGCAUAAGCGCACAGUGCCGCAUGGCACAGUGUGAAAAACUCCGGUGGUCUAAGAUGGACUCGCGUCUGAUUAGCUAGUUGGUGAGGUAACGGCCCACCAAGGCGACGAUCAGUAGCCGGCCUGAGAGGGUGAACGGCCACAUUGGGACUGAGACACGGCCCAAACUCCUACGGGAGGCAGCAGUGGGGGAUAUUGCACAAUGGGCGAAAGCCUGAUGCAGCGACGCCGCGUGAGUGAAGAAGUAUUUCGGUAUGUAAAGCUCUAUCAGCAGGGAAGAAA
This 430-nucleotide ribosomal RNA is filed under the name bacterium MA2015. RNAcentral's name for it is "bacterial SSU rRNA". It matches the Rfam family "Bacterial small subunit ribosomal RNA", at positions 27 to 450 of the family's 1533-position model. The record is from RNAcentral.